Molecule: ribosomal RNA, 422 nt
Filed under: uncultured bacterium
Lineage: Bacteria
Description: bacterial SSU rRNA
Rfam family: Bacterial small subunit ribosomal RNA
Source: RNAcentral
UAAGGAAUAUUGGACAAUGGACGCAAGUCUGAUCCAGCCAUGCCGCGUGAAGGAUGAAUGCCCUCUGGGUUGUAAACUUCUUUUAUAGGGGAAGAAAGAUACUUUUUUUAAGGUAGUUGACGGUACCCUAUGAAUAAGCACGGGCUAACUCCGUGCCAGCAGCCGCGGUAAUACGGAGGGUGCAAGCGUUAUCCGGAUUUACUGGGUUUAAAGGGUGCGUAGGCGGGCAUGUAAGUCAGUGGUGAAAUACCGGAGCUUAACUUCGGAACUGCCAUUGAUACUAUAUGUCUUGAAUAUUGUGGAGGUAAGCGGAAUAUGUCAUGUAGCGGUGAAAUGCAUAGAUAUGGCAUAGAACACCGAUUGCGGAGGCAGCUUGCUACGCAAAUAUUGACGCUGAGGCACGAAAGCGUGGGGAUCAAACA